AUGCUGUUCAAAUGUAGGAGUAACCCAACCCUAGGAUUCCAUUUUAAGCUCAGUUUCCUGAGAUCAUUCCUGGUACCAAUUACUGCUUGGGUCAGGGUCCAGCAGAAAUCUGUUGGCACACUCAAACUGUUUAAUUUAAGAAGUAUUUAAUAAAAUAAUUCUUUACAAUGGAGAGGACCCUGACAAAAUCAAUAAGAAAAAUAAAGCAUCUUAACCUAGCUACACAAAAGGAAGCCAUUUUCAUGUGUAAGCCGAAAGAGGAAAAGGAAAGAAUGACUCUCAAAAUUCAGAGACAGUCAUGGUGCAAGAGGGAUUACCACUCAACCAGAGCCGUGGUUUUAUGUAGAGAAUUGCAGCCACUGACAACAGACCAAAAAGCAGAUAGGAGAAACCAAGGGAAUACAUACCCUCAUCUCUUUCUUUCAGACUUCAAAUUUCCUGUCCUCCCCUCUCCAUUUUACUCCAUAAGUCUUCCAUUCCAGUUGUUUCACCCCUAGGUCAACUGGGGAAUUCUAAAGUCCUUUAUUCCCCCCUCUCUGGCUAUUUUCUUCUCACUGCCUCCCUCCCCAACCCUUUCUUCUCUGAGCUAUGGGAUUCUCCUAAAGUGUCUUACAAAAAAUCUAGCCAUUUACAUUCCAGUGUAAACAUUCAUUUGUCUGUGUUAAAUUGCUGCCAGUUUAUCAGUAAUCAGAAUGGUCCCCAAUCUAGUCCCAUCUGUAAUUUAUUGUUUAGAGAGUUCCCAGAAUUGUCUAUGAGACCUUGAAAAUGACUACAUUAUGGCAAUUUCCUCCUUGAUGUUUACUUUUUAUUAUUAUUAUUAUUAUACUUUAAGUUUUAGGGUACAUGUGCACAAUGUGCAGGUUAGUUACAUAUGUAUACAUGUGACAUGCUGGUGUGCUGCACCCACUAACUCUUCAUCUAGCAUUA
RNAcentral lists this long non-coding RNA (927 nucleotides) under Homo sapiens (human). RNAcentral describes it as "HSALNT0128344". Lineage: Eukaryota; Metazoa; Chordata; Mammalia; Primates; Hominidae. The record is from RNAcentral.